CUCCACAACUGCCACAGGACGGGCAAGCAGCAUGUCACCGUGGUGCCAUUGGCAACUGGUUCCUGUUAUCUUUCCAGUGUUAGAACUUCUGUGGGUGUGUGGACUUUAUGGUUAAGUCUGCCCUAAGCAUGGACAUACUUCAGGGAGUCUGGUUUCUAGGCAGUAUAAAGCAACAGUAUUCCUUAUUAUGCCUGUGGCAAACAGCACUUCCUUUGCCCAAGUGGGAUGAAGAUGGGGAAUUUGGUCUUGUGGCCACAGUGAUGCCACCAUGUGCCCAACUAACAACCCAUUCAUCCCAUGGGAAUUGGGAAGUAAAAGUUACCAGUGUCUUCAAGAGGGAGCAGGGCAACCCAAAACACUUAUCUUUGUGAGGUGUGUGUGUGUAGGUUGAUUUUAUUUCAUCCAAAGAAAGAAUGCGAACAUAGGAGCAAGGAAGGACUUUGCAGUUUUAAAUCGGAUGGUGCAGAUAGAGCCACGGAGUUUCCUCGUGUUCGAAAGUAGCGUGCCAAUCUGUGAAGCAGCUUCAUUCAUGGACAUGAGAACCUGUGCUGGAUAAAUGCAGAGACCAGCAGGGAACCAAGAGGGCUGCAAGCAGCAUGAGGAUAGUAUUUGACUGACGACGGUGUGCAGAGUUGGUGUUCUAAAAGCACUUGUGACUUGGAGACUAGGUCUGCUCUCUGCCUUGAUCAAAAAGAUUUUCUGUGCAUCAAAGAGUGAUCAAGACAAGAGAUUCCUGGCUGGUCAAGGAGCUGAGCGCAAGAGACUGUGGAGUGGAGCAUGGUUGACCUGCCAGGAGACACACCCAUCAAGAUACCAACUUUCCCUUCCCCUGAAGCGACGGUAUGGAAUGGGAACUUUGGGUCUUGCCUCAGCUCCUAACUGAAGAACUUAUACAAUUUAAAAGCAGAAUAAAUUCCAGAUUUUGGUUUGCA
Molecule: long non-coding RNA, 932 nt
Organism: Mus musculus (house mouse)
Lineage: Eukaryota; Metazoa; Chordata; Mammalia; Rodentia; Muridae
Product: predicted gene 13990
Exons: 4
Source: RefSeq, a predicted model, not a curated record